RNAcentral lists this unclassified non-coding RNA (229 nucleotides) under Hevea brasiliensis (rubber tree). The record is from RNAcentral. Lineage: Eukaryota; Viridiplantae; Streptophyta; Magnoliopsida; Malpighiales; Euphorbiaceae.
GUAACUUUCCCACGUUGACGAGAGCUAUCCUUCCAUCGCUGGCAGAAGACACAAGCCAUGGAAACUCAAAUGCAAGUGACAAAACCGGGCCGGAAUGAGGAGUCCAGGUAGCAACCGGCUUGAAGUCAUCUUCGUCACUGUAGUUGGCAACAUCAAACAUGUGUAUCGAACCAUCUUCGCCGCCCGUAAACAACAGAUCCCCAACAUGGCUCCGAGCUAGAGCAUGUGC